Small nuclear RNA from Tupaia belangeri (northern tree shrew), 105 nucleotides. NCBI's taxonomy places the organism in Eukaryota, Metazoa, Chordata, Mammalia, Scandentia, Tupaiidae. The record is from Ensembl.
GUGCUCGCUUUGGCAGCACAUACACUAAAAUUGGAACGGUACAGAGAAGAUUAGCAUGGCCCCUGUGCAAGGACGGCACGCACAUUUGCGGUGUUCCAUAUUUUU